Non-coding RNA from Styela clava, 473 nucleotides. The record is from RefSeq and is a predicted model, not a curated record. Lineage: Eukaryota; Metazoa; Chordata; Ascidiacea; Stolidobranchia; Styelidae.
AUUGAGUUAAACAAAGCUGAGGGAAUGCCAAUACCAUAAACUCAUAGAGUUUUGAACUCCUCAGUUUGUGCAUCGACUCGCAAAUAUUAGGCCAUUGUUCUCUCAACCUCAUUCAAUCUUUUUACUUUGAGCUAUAAUUUUCAAGAUCUGAAUACCGGCCAUGAAAAACGUAUUUAUUCUAAUAGCCAUUGGAGUUGUGUUUGCUACCAUUUACAGUGGUGCUAUAGCUGAAGAUGACGACGACCAGGGAGAAAAUGUAGGAAUAAAAUUUGGCUCCAAGGAUAAUCAGAGGAGAAUGAUCGAAUUGGAUUCGUGGAAAAGAAAGAAGCGUGACAUUUUAUUUUCAAACAAUGCAGAUGACAUUGCUCUUUUUUAUUGACUUCAUUUGGACAACAAUAUCAAAGGAAUACAACAAUCAUCGAUGCAUCGUUUGUUACGUAAUUACGUAUAAUGUUAUUAUAUUUUUGAGUUGA